Molecule: transfer RNA, 69 nt
Filed under: Dictyocaulus viviparus (bovine lungworm)
Lineage: Eukaryota; Metazoa; Nematoda; Chromadorea; Rhabditida; Metastrongylidae
Description: tRNA-Arg
Source: RNAcentral
AAAGUGAAAAAUAGAGUUCUAUGUUUGAUUACGGAUCGAAAAGGUUGUUCAUUUAUAUAAUUUAGUUUA